Molecule: long non-coding RNA, 568 nt
Filed under: Capra hircus (goat)
Lineage: Eukaryota; Metazoa; Chordata; Mammalia; Artiodactyla; Bovidae
Description: lncRNA (ENSCHIG00010006768.1)
Source: RNAcentral
GCGGCUCCGGGCGCGCGGCCGUGCGCACGCGCGCCGGCGAGUGUGAGUGUGUGUGUGAGUGUGCGCGCGCGCGCCCACGGGGAGGGGGGGAAGAGGCCGAGAGAUGCUCGUAGGGACCGAGGCAAAAUUCUCCUGCCUCGGGAAUCCGUAAGCCGGGGAAGGAGGCUCGAACGCGCGUCUCGCCGCGGGGAGGAGCUGCCCGCCCGGCGACGCCGAGGAGGAGGAGGGCUGCCGCGCCGGGCGCGCAGGUUCCGGAUCCGAGCGGCGCCGAACCGAGCGGGACGCGCAGCCACGGACGCAGCGGAGGCGGCGCCCACAGCCCACGAAACAACAAAAGCUUUCUAACUCUGAAGACUGGUAAAUUUAGGCUGUGAGACGUACCAUGAAUUCGAAAAUCAACUCCUCAUGCCGGGAGCCGAUUGCCCCAAAUUCUUUCAAGUGAGAAGACAGGGACCGUUAGCUGAAAUGCCGCUGUUGAGUUUAGUGGUGUGAGCGCGCAUAAGGAUACAGGUAAUUUCCCCCAUAAUUAGGUUGCAGAUCACUUCGUGCAUUAGAGUUUUAAAUGAUA